Molecule: long non-coding RNA, 17591 nt
Filed under: Gossypium barbadense (sea-island cotton)
Lineage: Eukaryota; Viridiplantae; Streptophyta; Magnoliopsida; Malvales; Malvaceae
Description: long non-coding RNA (GBAR_LNC016820)
Source: RNAcentral
GAUGUCAAUGAACGGAAUGUGGGCUAUGUUGGGCCAAUCCUCUCCUCUCACUUUCUCACACCGUCUUUUCAGGUGGGGGCAUCCUCUGAUUCUUAGUGUUUCCAGAGCAUUGAGGUUACGUACCCCUUGGGGCAAUGACAUCAAAUUAGAGCAAUACGAAAUCUCCAAUAAUGAAAGCAAGGUGAGGUGUUGCAUCUCAUCUGGGAGAGAAAUUAAACCCCUACAACACCUAAUCUGCAGAUAUCGAAGAGAAGAGAGGUGUUGGAUACUCCUUGGCAAUGAGGUCAACUCUGGACAUCCAUUAAUAAGUAAGUCUUGGAGUGAAGUCAGAUAUCCCACACCCUCAGAUAAAGAGGCUAAUGUCUUACAAUUUUGAAUCCGUAGUGAAGAUAAGGAAGAUAAGCCUUGCAAUCCAUUUACCGGAAGGGAUACAAGGCUGUCACAACAAUUUAAAGACAAAGUUUUUAAAGAGCUGAGGUUUUGUAGUCCUGCAGGCAAGCUUUCAAUUGAGCAAUCUUGAAUAUACAGCUGUUUAAGGCAGGAUAGAUUAUCCAGCAUAUCGGAUGAAGACUUUAGACAACAAAAAGAAACAAGUUGCUUUUGAUUUUGCAGUAGUCCAUCUGGUAACUCGUUGAAGCCACUAAUCUGGAGAGAGGUAAGAACAGUGGCACUCAUAAUCAAAGGUGUGAGUAAAGUAACAUUAGUUUCUCCAAUCUGUAGCUGUUUUAGAGAUUGAAUCAUUGGCAGUUUAACCAAUUUAGGACAACAAUCGACAGUUAAUGAACUCAGGAGAGGAAAAUGUUCUCUACCAUUCACUGUUGUCCAUUCCUCCAAACAUAGCGCCUCACGUAUGCUGAGAACCUCGAGUGAUGGAAAAGAACUUUCCAUAUCACCAUAGAAGGUGUCGUCAAUAUACUUCAGAGCACUAAUUCUACAAAUAUUAAGGACCUUAAGGAAGCGCAAUUUCCCUAGAGGUGGUAGCUGAUGGCAUCUUUCACAGUAUCCUAGUGAGAUUUCAACAAGGUUUGGUAGAAGCAGAUCCAUCAUCCAAUACGGAAACAUCAAACCUUGGUAAUCAAUUAUACGUAACUUCUUCAAGUUUGAAUGAGGUUGGAGAGCACUAAGAAUCUCUUCAUCAUUUUGAUGAUGAGAGCUCUUGUUGCUGCUUAAUCGCCAAGAUAAGCUAAGUGAUCUUAAAUUGUGCUUCUUUAUCAAAUUUGCAUUUCUAGCUUCCAUUGAACUCUUCACGUUGUGAAGUCCUUUGAUGCUCAAUUCCCCCUCUAGGGCCAACCCCUUCAACUCAUCAAUGCUGCAACCAUCUUCCUUUCCCACAAUGAACAUGCUAAGCUUGCGCAAAAAAGACAGUUGUCCCAAUGCAACAGGCAUAGAAGUUAGUUCAUGGCAAUUCCUGAUGUCCAAGUACCUAAGAUUUUUCAAGUUCUUCGUACCUUUGGGUAACAUUUGAAGAUUGCAACAAUGUCUGAGGUUUAGUGUCUGCAAGUUAUGAAGAGAGCUUGUUGAUUCAGGUAAAGUUUUCACACGCAAACUGUGAAGGCAAAGAUACCUUAAGUGUUUCGAACUUUUAAAUGCAAUAUUGCUAAAAUUAAAACCAAAAUCCAACACCUUGAGAUACUUUUGUUUACUGAUGUAGCGGGAAAGAUUAGAGACGUUAACGGCAUGGCCAUGUAGGAUCAAAGAUUGCAGCGGUUGAAAUGUGGUGUAGUCCAUAACGUUUGUCGAUCGACUGCUAUUAUAAACAAACAAGUGACGAGCAGUUUUUGGAAUCUGUGACCCCUCAUUUGCCUCAAUCACACAGCACUCUUGUCCCAUAAUCGAUGUUGCGAGAUCAUGGAGGAGAUCAUGCAUUUUACAUGUAACAGUUCCAUCAACAUCCUCUUUGAUUUCUUGGAAAAAAGACCUCCAAGUUAAUUGAGAGAAUAUUUCACAACCCAUAUCAUGCAAAUCCAGUGCUCCUCGAGAAGGAAUAAAUCCAUUUGCCAUCCAUAGUCCCAUAAGCUCGUCCUUUGUCAUGACAGAAUCUUUGGGAAAUAUCGAGCAAAAUGAAAAACAUUGUCUCAUAUACGGUGGAAGAUGUUCAUAACUUAGCCUCAACGCAGCUAAGAUUCUGCUUCCCUCAUCUUCCAAAUCCCAUAUCUCACUAUCUUUGACACGUAACCAUUCACUUUCUUGACUUCUAAAACGCAAUAUGCUCCCUAUGGCCUUAAUUGCCAAUGGUACCCCUCCACAUCUCUGCACUAUUCGCCUCCCAAUGGUUUCCAGGUUCGCGUUGCUUCCAUUCAUUCCCAUCCCAAAGGCUCUUUGCUUGAACAAAGACCAAGAAUCAUCAUCCGACAAACAUCCCAAGCGAUAGAAAGGAGUUGUAGCCAUCAUAAGAGCAACAUUCUCGAGUCGAGUAGUGACAAUCACCGUACUUCCUUUCCGUCCACACUGUAGAGCUUGUUUCAAUCUAUCCCACUUGUCAUGGUACUCAUUCCACACAUCAUCUAGUACAAGCAAAAACCGUUUCCCAACAAGCUUCUCUGCUAAACACCGCUGCAGGGGAUCUAGCUCUUGGAUACCACACGAGUUCCCUCCAAAGGAUUCCACAAUCGCUUUAGUCAACCUUUUUAUAUCAAAAUCAUCUGAUACACACACCCAACCUCUCAAAUCGAAGACUUUCGCCACGUUUUCGUCAUUGAAAACCAAUUGAGCGAUUGUUGUCUUACCAAGACCCCCCAUUCCGCAUAUUGCAUAAACAGAGAGGUCAUCAUGGUGACUCUCAUUACAAAGUAACAUACCAACUAUCUUUUCCUUCUCAUCAGCUCUGCCAAGUACUUCCGAUUCUUUCACAAGGGAGCUGGUUUGCCUAUCCUCAUUCCGUUCAAUUUCAGCUUCUCCCACACCCUCUCUCAAGUGGAACUUACUUUUCUCUCCAGCAAUGGCAUCUAAUUUCUCCCUUACAUUCUUAAACUUACGUGCCAUAUCUAAGCGAAAAAAGAGCGGAUUUCGCAAAGAAAAGAAGGUGGUUACCUGGCUUCUUGCAUCCGUAUGCAGGCUACGACUUAGAGCUUCGGUGUUGAAAUCUUCGACCACAACUUCCAGAUCGUAAGCUGCUUGUUUGAGCUUCCCAAGCCAGUUCUUGAUAGCUUCACUCUUCCAUUGCUUCUCUGCAUCUUGGAGCACAGCUUGGAUUGUAGUAAGCGUACUUUCAAGACUCGCAACUUCUGUUUUGAGGCUCCCAGGAAGUUCCAGUUCUUUCAAGGACCACGACCUCAAGCUGUCCAAGAUGGUACCGACAAGGGGUGAAAGUAAUACCUCUGCCAUGUCCUAUCUCUCUUAAAAUUUCACAACCAGCAAAGUAGCAAUUGGUAACUAAGGAGCCAACUAUGGAUAUUCAAAGACGAAGAAAGAAACAAUUUCACAUAAAUUCGGAUCAGCCCGAAAGUGUAAACAAAGGAAAGCUACUGUUCCAGUUAGGGUUAGCAAUGGGUUGGAUUGACUUGAGCUGGUAUGCAUACUUGCAUAUGAACCAAACUUUUGACUAUGGCAAUAAAGUACGUGGAAAAAAAUGAAAGGAAGUGGGAACCAUUGAAAAUAAUGCAUAUGCGUGUAGGACCAAGUGUCAAGAAAUAAUAAAAUCCUUUAAAAGAUAUAAGAUGGUGAAUGCAAUUGCCAACAAAGUACAACAUUUAAUAUUAAGUUGAUAAGUUCAAUGAUAGAGCAAAUUAAAAUAUUUUUCAUAUUUUAUUAUUUUUAAAAUUUUAAAUAUAAUUUUUUAUUAUUUUUAAAGGGUUAAAUGGGUAAACUUAUGUAUGAAAAGGAUUGAAUUGUAAAUUUCAAGGUCCUUACUUUAUCCUCAAAUUUGCUUCUGAAUAUUAUCUUGGAUUUUAUAAAUAAUCUUGUAAAAUUUUAUUAAUAUCUAUCAAUGGAAUGAACAGCAAAGAGAAGAAUAUACACUAAAAAGUACAACUUGUAUAAAAGCUUAUCUUGUGUUGAUUUUAACUCAAAAUAUAGGGUCAAUUCUUUCAAUUUAUUAAAAUUUGAGAUUUAAUCUAGUUUAAAAAGUUAUUAAUUUUACUUUUUAAAUUAAAAAAUUUAAUUUAAUGAUGGAUACAAUUAGUAUUUUUCAUCAAAUAUCAUAUCUUAUUUCAUAAAAAUAACAUAAUCAACAUAGUAAAGUUCAAGUUUUGGGAAGAAAAAUAGUUGCCUUUCUUGUUCGAUAAUAUGUUUGUGUUAGGCUAAUUUAGAAGAAAAAAAAAAAUAAGACCCAAAGACAAGCUUAGAAGUAUGAUUAGCAAUUGCCAUAUAAUGCUUUGAAAUUUUUGGUGGCAUCUUCAAGGGAACCCAUUAUGGUUGCAGUACAUAAAAGUUCCAUUGGUGACGUUGGGGUAUGAAACGAGUUACGAUGUAUUCGUGAAAGCUCAUACAGGUGGGGUUUCGGGACAGGCACAAGCAAUCACACUCGGCAUUGCUCGUGCAUUGCUGAAGGUGAGUGCCGAUCAUAAGAGCCCGUUGAAGAAAGAAGGGCUUUUGACCAGAGAUUCAAAGGUGGUGGAGAGGAAGAAAGUUGGUCUCGAGAAGGCUCGUAAAGCUCCACAGUUUUCCAAACGUUAAGUGGAUGGAAAACCGGGGAUAUAUAUACAUCGCUUUCAUGGUUGGUUUGUAGAAAAUCUUUUCUUCUCAGUAACAUUUGCUGAUGAAUUUUUUUUACAAAAUUUCUAAAUUGUAGAAGAACCCCUUUUGAUAAUGUAGAUCUUGUUCUUGAUUGGUUGUGCUUAUGAACAUUUCUCUUGCAUUUCAUAUGAGGAAUGUUGAUCCUCAGUCUAUUGUUAAUUAAAGGGUAAAAGUACAGUUGAGGCAUAUGUAUUAUGAAUUAGAUUGCAUUUUGUCCUAUUUAUUACAUUAGAUCAAUAACUAAAUUGAUUUUUUUUGUUAAAAAUUUAUUCGAGUCAAAUUUUCAUCAUUAAGUGCAUUUAAAAUAGUUUCCUCUACAUGAAAUUUGUGUAAUGUAAUUGACAAAACAAUACCAUCCAAAAGGACAUUAAUUAAGAUUCACGUGUAAUGAAACUUAAGCCUAAAACAAUCUAAAAAGGAAAUCAAAACCCCAACAGCUGAACCUUUGCCAACAAAGCCACCAACAACAUGCCUAUGCACAGAUACAUAAUAGAGUUUAACAAAGUAAUGUGUGAUGACCAUAAGAAGUUAGACGCUAAAAUUAUUUGCCAUCUAUUUAUUCUUACCUACUCUUAUGGGGGAUAGAACUGGUCUAUAAACUUAAUGCAAUGUUUCUUUUUCUUUUUGAAAUCGCAGAAUAGAUCAUUGAAUUUAACAAAAUUCUUCACUCACCAAUGUUUCUUUGCCUGAAAAUGUAUUUAGAUAAUUAUAUCCCAGAUUCAUCAAAUGAAAACUAUUAAUAACAUAUAUGAAUGAAUGAUACCGCAGAUGUAAAGAUCCUUAUUCACAAAAAUGUAAUGCUCAAAUCCUUUUUACAUAACUCUUGAAUGUGAUUCAAACUAUGAAUAUUCUUAUUUAAAAUUAAAAUUCAAAAGUAGAGAAUCACCUAGUUAAGGAUUUCAAUGAAUGGAAUGUGGGCUAUGUUGGGCCAAUCUUCUCCUCUCACUUUCUUACAUCGUCUUUGCAGAUGGGGGCAUCCAUAGAUCCUUAGCGCUUGUAGCGUAGUGAGGUUAUGAACCCCUUGGGGCAAUGACAUCAAAUUAGAGCAAUUUAUUAUGGAAAAUUCCGAAAGCAAGGAGAGGUGUUGCAUCUCAUCUGGGAGAGAAAUUAAACCCCUACAACACCUAAUCUGCAGAUAUCGAAGAGAAGAGAGGUGUUGGAUACUCCUUGGCAAUGAGGUUAACUCUGGACAUUCAUUAAUAAGUAAGUCUUGGAGUGAAGUCAGAUAUCGCAUCCCCUCAGGUAAAGAGGCUAAUGUCUUACAAUGUUGAACCCGCAGUGAACACAAGGAAGAUAAGCGUUGCAAUCCAUUUACCGGAAGCGAUACAAGGCUGUCACAAAAAUUUAAAUCCAAAGUUUCUAAGGAGCUGAGGUUUUGAAGUCCUGCAGGCAAGCUUUCAAUUGAGCAAGCUUGAAUAUCCAAGUAUUUAAGGCAGGAUAGAUUAUCCAGCAGAUCAGAUGAAGACUUUAGACUACAAUAAAAAACAUUCAACCUAUCAAGUUGCUUUUGAUUUUUUAGUAGUUCAUCCGGUAACUCGUUGAAGUCGCUAAUCCGGAGAGAGGUAAGAACAGUGGCAUUCAUAAUCAAAGAUGUGAGUAAAGUAACAUUAGUUUCUCCAAUAUGUAGCUCUUUUAGAGAUUGAAUCAUUGGCAGUUUAACCAAUUUAGGACAACAAUCGACAGUUAAUGAACUCAGGAGAGGAAAAUGUUCUCUACCAUUCACUGUUGUCCAUUCCUCCAAACAUAGCGCCACACGUAUGCUGAGAACCUCGAGUGAUGGAAAAGAACUUUCCAUAUCACCAUAGAAGGUGUCGUCAAUAUACUUCAGAGCACUAAUUCUACAAAUAUUAAGGACCUUAAGGAAGCGCAAUUUCCCUAGAGGUGGUAGCUGAUGGCAUCUUUCACAGUUUCCUAGUGAGAUUUCAACAUGGUUUGGUAGAAGCAGAUCCAUCAUCCAAUAUGGAAACAUCAAACCUUGGUAACCAAUUAUGCGUAACUUGAAGGUUGAAUGAGGUUGGAGAGCACAAAGAAUCUCUUUAUCAUUUUGAUGAUGAGAGUUACUCGUUGCGAUUUCCUCGCCAAGAUAAGCUAAGUGAUCUUAAUUGUGCUUCUUUAUCAAAUUUGCCUUUUUAGCUUCCAUCGCACUCUUCACGUUGGUUAGUCCUUUGAUGCUCAGUUCCCCCUCUAGGGCCAACUCUUUCAACUCAUCAAUGCCGCAACCAUCUUUCUUUCCCAAAAUGAAUAUGCUAAGCUUGCGCAAAAAAGACAAUUGUCCCAAUGCAACAGGCAUAGAAGUUAGUGUAUGGCAACCUCUGAUGUCCAAGUACCUAAGAUUUUUCAAGUUCUUCGUACCUUUGGGUAACAUUUUAUGACUGCCACAAUCUUUGAGGCUUAGUGUCUGCAAGUUAAGAAGAGAGCUUGUUGAUUCAGGUAAAGUUUUCACAGUAGAAUUGUGAAGGUACAGAUACCUCAAGUGUUUCGAAAUUUUAAAUUCAAUAUUGCUCAUAUAAAAACCCAAAUGCAACACCUUGAGAUACUUUUGUUUACUGAUGAAACGGGAAGGAUUAGAGUGGUUAAAGUAACCAUCGCCGCAUAGGAUCAAAGAUUGCAGCUGCUGCAAUGUGGUUAAGUCCAUAAUGUUUGUCGAUGGACUGAUAUUAUAAUGAUAAACAAACAAGUGAGGAGCAGUUUUUGGAAUUUGUGACAUCUCAUUUGGCUCAAUCACACAGCACUCUUGUCUCAUAAUCGAUGUUGCAAGAUCAUGGAUGAGAUCAUGCAUUUUACAUGCAACAGUUCCAUCAACAUCCUCUUCAAUUUCUUGAAAAAAGGACCUCCAAGUUAAUUCAGAGAAUAUUUCACAACCCAUAUCAUGCAAAUCCAAUGCUCCUCGAGAAGGAAUAAAUCCAUUUGCCAUCCAUAGUGCUAAAAGCUUGUCCUUCGUCAUGACAGAAUCUUUGGGAAAUAUCGAGCAAAAUGAAAAACAUUGUCUCAUAUACGGUGGAAGAUGUUCAUGACUUAGCCUCAACACAGCUAUGAUUCUGCUUCCCUCAUCUUCCAAAUCCCAUAUCUUGACUUCUAAAACGAAAUAUGCUUCCCAUGGCCUUAAUUGCCAACGGUACGCCUCCACAUCUCUGCACUACUUGCCUCCCAAUGGUUUCCAGGUUCGCGUUGCUUCCGUUCGUUCCCAUACCAAAGGAUCUUUGCUUGAAUAAAGACUUAAGAUCGUUGCAUUAGUUAGAUACCUUUUCUAAUAAAUAUCCUAUGGAGUCUUUACUAAUUUUUUCAUAACAUAUAUACCCUAUUCUUACCAUUUACAUGAUCAAUGAAAUCCAAUUCCAAAUAUUGAAAUCCAUGUACCCUACCGUGCUUAAAAGAAUUCGAAAAGUCUAAUAAUAUUAAAAAGGGUUAUAAAAUAAAAAAUUUCAUUAUAAUUUUUCGUAUAAUUUUAUUAAAAGAUUAUUUACGUUCCAAUAAAUAAUUAAAAAAUUGGGACAUAUAUUUGAGUAUGACUCAAUAUGAUAAUACUUGAGUCUAAAAUAAUCUAAAGGAAAAACUACACAUGGUGUGAUUCAAACUCGACACAUCAAAGCCUCAGCACCUCAACCUUUAUCAACGAAGCGACCAAUAACAUGCCUAUGCACAUAUAUAUAUAUAUAAUAGAGUUUAACAAAGUUACGUGUGAUGAGCAUAAGAAGUUAGAAACUAAAAUUAUUUGCCAUCUAUUUAUUCAUACCUGCUCUUAUUGGGGGAUAGAAUUGGUCUGCGAAUUUAAUGCAAUCUUGUCUUUUUUCUUCAAAUUGCAAAAUAGAUCCUCGAAUUUAACAAAAGUUGUCACUCACCAAUCCUGAAAAUGUAUUUAGACAAUCAUAUCAUAAAUUCAUCAAAUGAAAACUAUUAAUAAUAGAUAUGAAUGAAAUGAUCCUGCAGAUGCAGAGAUCCUUAUUCACAAAAAUGUAAAUGUCAAAUCCUUUUUACAUAAUUCUUGAAUAUGAUUCAAAUUAAGAAUUUUCUUAUUUAAAAUUAAAAUUCAAAAGUAGAGAAUCACCUGGUUAGAGAUUUCAAUGGACGGAAUGUGGGCUAUGUUGGGCCAAUCCUCUCCUCUCCCUUUCUUACACCGUCGUUUCAGGUGGGGGCAUCCUCUGAUUCUUAGUUUUUUCAGAGCAUUGAGGUUACGUACCCCUUGGGGCAAUGACAUCAAAUUAGAGCAACUCCUUAUCUCCAAUAAUGAAAGCAGGUUGAGGUGUUGUAUCUCAUCUGGGAGAGAAAUUAAACCUCUACAAGACCAAAUCCGCAGACUUUGAAGAGAAGAGAGGUGUUGGAUACUCCUUGGCAAUGAGGUCAACUCUGGACAUCCAUUAAUAAGUAAGUCUUGGAGUGAAGUCAGAUAUCCCACACCCUCAGAUAAAGAGGCUAAUGUCUUACAAUUUUGAAUCUGUAGUGAAGAUAAGGAAGAUAAGCCUUGCAAUCCAUUUACCGGAAGGGAUACAAGGCUGUCACAACAAUUUAAAAACAAAGUUUUUAAAGAGCUGAGGUUUUGUAGUCCUGCAGGCAAGCUUUCAAUUGAGCAACCUUGAAUAUCCAAGUAUUUAAGGCGGGAUAGAUUAUCCAGCAGAUCGGAUGAAGACUUUAGACUACAAGAAAGAACAUUCAACGAAUCAAGUUGCUUUUGAUUUUGCAGUAGUCCAUCCGGUAACUCGUUGAAGCCACUAAUCACGAGAGAGGUAAGAACAGUGGCAUUCAUAAUCAAAGGUGCGAGUAAAGUAACAUUAGUUCCUCUAAUAUGUAGCUGUUUUAGAGAUUGAAUCAUUGGCAGUUUAACCAACUUAGGACAAGAUUCGAUAGUUAAUGAACUCAGGAGAGGAAAAUGUUCUCUACCAUUCACUGUUGUCCAUUCCUCCAAACAUAGCGCCACACGUAUGCUGAGAACCUCGAGUGAUGGAAAAGAACUUUCCAUAUCACCAUAGAAGGUGUCGUCAAUAUACUUCAGAGCACUAAUUCUACAAAUAUUAAGGACCUUAAGGAAGCGCAAUUUCCCUAGAGGUGGCAGCUGAUGGCAUCUUUCACAGUUUUCUAGUGAGAUUUCAACAAGGUUUGGUAGAAGCAGAUCCAUCAUCCAAUACGGAAACAUCAAACCUUGGUAAUCAAUUAUACGUAACUUCUUCAAGUUUGAAUGAGGUUGGAGAGCACUAAGAAUCUCUUCAUCAUUUUGAUGAUGAGAGCUCUUGUUGCUGCUUAAUCGCCAAGAUAAGCUAAGUGAUCUUAAAUUGUGCUUCUUUAUCAAAUUUGCAUUUCUAGCUUCCAUUGAACUCUUCACGUUGUGAAGUCCUUUGAUGCUCAAUUCCCCCUCUAGGGCCAACCCCUUCAACUCAUCAAUGCCGCAACCAUCUUCCUUUCCCACAAUGAACAUGCUAAGCUUGCGCAAAAAAGACAGUUGUCCCAAUGCAACAGGCAUAGAAGUUAGUGCAUCGCAAUUUCUGAUGUCCAAGUACCUAAGAUUUUUCAAGUUCUUCGUACCUUUGGGUAACAUUUGAAGAUUGUAACAAUCUCCUAGGUUUAGUGUCUGCAAGUUAUGAAGAAAGCUUGUUGAUUCAGGUAAAGUUUUCACAUGAGAACCGUGAAGGCAAAGAUACCUCAAGUGUUUCGAACUUUUAAAUGCAAUAUUGCUACUAUUAAAACCCAUAUCCAACACCUUGAGAUACUUUUGUUUACUGAUGUAACGGGAAAGAUUAGAAAAGUUAAUGUCAUAGCCAUGUAGGAUCAAAGAUUGCAGCGGUUGCAAUGUGGUGAAGUCCAUAACGUUUGUCGAUCGACUGCUAUUAUAAACAAACAAGUGACGAGCAGUUUUUGGAAUCUGUGACCCCUCAGUUGCCUCAAUCACACAGCACUCUUGUCCCAUAAUCGAUGUUGCGAGAUCAUGGAUGAGAUCAUGCAUUUUACAUGUAACAGUUCCAUCAACAUCCUCUUUGAUUUCUUGAAAAAAGGAUCUCCAAGUUAAUUCAGAGAAUAUUUCACAACCCAUAUCAUGCAAAUCCAAUGCUCCUCGAGAAGGUAUAAAUCCAUUUGCCAUCCAUAGUCCUAUAAGCUUAUUCUUUUCCAUGACAAAAGCUUUGGGAAAUAUCGAGCAAAAUGAAAAACAUUGUCUCAUAUACGGUGGAAGAUGGUCAUAACUUAGCCUCAGCACAGCUAAGAUUCUGCUUCCCUUAUCUUCCAAAUCCCAUAUCUCACUAUCUUUGACACGUAACCAUUCACUUUCUUGACUUCUAAAACGCAAUAUGCUCCCUAUGGCCUUAAUUGCCAAUGGUACACCUCCACAUCUCUGUACUAUUCGCCUCCCAAUGGUUUCCAGGUUCGCGUUGCUUCCAUUCAUUCCCAUCCCAAAGGCUCUUUGCUUGAACAAAGACCAAGAAUCAUCAUCCGACAAACAUCCCAAGCGAUAGAAAGGAGUUGUAGCCAUCAUAAGAGCAACAUUCUCGAGUCGAGUAGUGACAAUCACCGUACUUCCUUUCCGUCCACACUGUAAAGCUUGUUUUAAUCUAUCCCACUUGUCAUGGUACUCAUUCCACACAUCAUCUAGUACGAGCAUAAACCGUUUCCCAAGAAGCUUCUCUGCUAAACACCGCUGCAGGGUAUCUAGCUCUUGGAUACCACACGAGUUCCCUCCGAAGGAUUCCACAAUCGCUUUAGUCAACCUUUUUAUAUCAAAAUCAUCAGAUACACACACCCAACCUCUCAAAUCGAAGACUUUCGCCACGUUUUCGUCAUUGAAAACCAAUUGAGCGAUUGUUGUCUUACCAAGACCCCCCAUUCCGCAUAUUGCAUAAACAGAGAGGUCAUCAUGGUGACUCUCAUUACAAAGUAACAUACUAACUAUCUUUUCCUUCUCAUCAGCUCUGCCAAGUACUUCCGAUUCUUUCACAAGGGAGCUGGUUUGCCUAUCCUCAUUCCGUUCAAUUUCAGCUUCUCCCACACCCUCUCUCAAGUGGAACUUACUUUUCUCCCCAGCAAUGGCAUCUAAUUUCUCCCUUACAUUCUUAAACUUACGUGCCACAUCUAAGCGAAACGAGAGCGGAUUCCGCAAAGAAAAGAAGGUGGUUACCUGGCUUCUUGCAUCCGUAUGCAGGCUACGACUUAGAGCUUCGGUGUUGAAAUCUUCGAGCACAGCUUCCAGAUCGUAAGCUGCUUGUUUGAGCUUCACAAGCCAGUUCUUGAUAGCUUCACUCUUCCAUUGCUUCUCCUCUGCAUCUUGGAGCACAGCUUGGAUUGUAGUAAGCGUACUUUCAAGACUCGCAACUUCUGUUUUGAGGCUCCCAGCAAGUUCCAGUUCUUUCAAGGACCACGACUUCAAGCCGUCCAAGAUGGUACCGACAAGGGGUGAAAGUAAUACCUCUGUCAUGUCCUAUCUCUCUUAAAAUUUCACAACCAGCAAAGGAGCAAUUGGUAACUAAGGAACCAACUAUGGAUAUUCAAAGACAAAGAAAGAAACAAUUUCACAUAAAUUGGGAUCAGCCUGAAAGAGUAAACAAAGAAAAGCUACUGUUUCCAGUUAGGGUUAGAAUGGGUUGGAUUGACUUGAGCUUGCAUGCAUAAUUGCAUAUGAACCAAACUUUUGACUAUGGCAAUAAAGUAUGUGGAAAAAAAUGAAAGGAAGUAGGAACCAUUGCAAAUAAUGCAUAUGCGUGUAGGACCAAGUGUCAAGAAUAAUAAAAUCCAUUAAAAGAUAUAAGAUGGUGAAUGCAAUUGCCAACAAAGUACAACAUUUAAUAUUAAGUUGAUAAGUUCAAUGAUAGAGCAAAUUAAAAUAUUUUUCAUAUUUUAUUAUUUUUAAAAUUUUAAAUAUAAAUUUUUAUGAUUUUUAAAGGGUUAAAAGGGUAAGCUUAUUUUUAAAAGGACUAAAUUGUAAAUUUCAAGGUGCUUAUUUUACGGUCAAAUUUGCUUCUGAAUAUUAUCUUGGAUUUUAUAAAUAAAUCUUGUAAAAUUUUAUUAAUAUCUAUCAAUGGAAUGAUCAGCAAAGAGACGAAUAUUCACUAAAAAGUACAACUUUUAUAAAAGCUUAUCUUGUGUUGAUUUUAACUCAAAAUAUAGGGUCAAUUCUUUCAAUUUAUUAAAAUUUGAGAUUUAAUCUAGUUUAAAAAGUUAUUAUUUUUACUUUUUAAAUUAAAAAAUUAAUUUAAUGAUGGAUACAAUUAUUAUUUUUCAUUAAAUAUCAUAUCUUAUUUCAUAAAAAUAACAUAAUCAACAUAAUAAAAUUCUAAGUUUUGGGAAAAAAAUAGUUGCCUUUCUUGUUCGAUAAUAUGUUUGUGUUAAGCUAAUUUAGAAGAAAAAUAAAUAAAAUCCAAAGACAAGCUUAGAAGUAUGAUUAGCAAUUGCCGUAUAAUGCUUUGAAAUUUUUGGUUGAGGAGUAUCUUCAAGGGAACCCAUUAUGGUUGCAGUACAUAAAAGUUCCAUUGGUGACGUUGGGGUAUGAAACGAGUUACGAUAUAUUCGUGAAAGCUCAUGCAGGUGGGAUUUCAGGAUAGGCACAAGUAAUCACACUCGGCAUUGGUCGUGCAUUGCUGAAGGUGAGUGCCGAUCGUAGGAGCCCAUUGAAGAAAGAAGGGCUUUUGACCAGAGAUUCGAGGGUGGUGGAGAGGAAGAAAGUUGGUCUCAAGAAGGCUCGUAAAGCUCCACAAUUUUCCAAACGUUAAGUGGAUGGAAAACUGGGGAUAUAUAUACAUUGCUUUCAUGGUUGGUUUGUAGAAAAUCUUUUCUUCUCACUAACAUUUGUUGAUGAAUUUUUUUUACAAAAUUCUAAAUUGUAGAAGAACCCCUUUUGAUAAUACAGAUCUUGUUCUUGAUUGGUUGUGCUUAUGAACAUUUCUCUUGCAUUUCAUGUGAGGAAUGUUGAUCCUCAGUCUAUUGUUACUUAAUGGGUAAAAGUAUGAUUGUGGCAUAUUAUCAAUAAGUAAAUUGAUUUUCUUUUUAUUAAAAAUUUAUUCGUUUCAACUGUCGAGUCAAAUUUUAUCAUUAAGUGCAUUUAAAAUAACUUCACCUACAUGAAAUUUGUGUAAUGCAAUUGACAAAACAAUACUAUCCAAAGGGCCAUUAAUUAAGAUUCACAUAUAAUGAAACUUAAGCCUAAAACAAUCUAAAAAGGAAAUCAAAACCCCAACAGCUCAACCUUUGUCAACAAAACCACCACCAACAUGCUUAUGCACAGAUACAUAAUAGAGUUCAACAAAGUUAUGUGUGAUGACCAUAAAAAGUUAGAAGCUAUAAUUAUUUGCCAUCUAUUUAUUCUUACCUACUCUUAUGGGGGAUAGAAGUGGUUUAUGAACUUAAUGCAAUGUUUCUUUUUCUUUUUGAAAUCGCAGAAUAGAUCAUAGAAUUUAACAAAAUUCCUCACUCACCAAUGUUGCUUUGUUUGAAAAUGUAUUUAGAUAAUUAUAUCCCAGAUUCAUCAAAUGAAAACUAUUAAUAAUAUAUAUGAAUGGAUGAUAAGUUGAUAACCGCAGAUGUAAAGAUCCUUAUUCACAAAAAUGUAAUGCUCAAAUCCUUUUUACAUAACUCUUGAAUGUGAUUCAAACUAAGAAUAUUCUUAUUUAAAAGUAAAAUUCAAAAGUAGAGAAUCACCUAGUUAAGGAUUUCAAUGAAUGGAAUGUGGGCUAUGUUGGGCCAAUCUUCUCCUCUCACUUUCUUACAUCGUCUUUGCAGAUGGGGGCAUCCAUAGAUCCUUAGCGCUUGUAGCGUAGUGAGGUUAUGAACCCCUUGGGGCAAUGACAUCAAAUUAGAGCAAUUUAUUAUGGAAAAUUCCGAAAGCAAGGAGAGGUGUUGCAUCUCAUCUGGGAGAGAAAUUAAACCCCUACAACACCUAAUCUGCAGAUAUCGAAGAGAAGAGAGGUGUUGGAUACUCCUUGGCAAUGAGGUUAACUCUGGACAUUCAUUAAUAAGUAAGUCUUGGAGUGAAGUCAGAUAUCGCAGUCCCUAAGAUAAAGAGGCUUAUGUCUUACAAUGUUGAACCCGCAGUGAACACAAGGAAGAUAAGCGUUGCAAUCCAUUUACCGGAAGCGAUACAAGGCUGUCACAAAAAUUUAAAUCCAAAGUUUCUAAGGAGCUGAGGUUUUGAAGUCCUGCAGGCAAGCUUUCAAUUGAGCAAGCUUGAAUAUCCAAGUAUUUAAGGCAGGAUAGAUUAUCCAGCAGAUCAGAUGAAGACUUUAGACUACAAUAAAAAACAUUCAACCUAUCAAGUUGCUUUUGAUUUUUUAGUAGUUCAUCCGGUAACUCGUUGAAGUCGCUAAUCCGGAGAGAGGUAAGAACAGUGGCAUUCAUAAUCAAAGAUGUGAGUAAAGUAACAUUAGUUUCUCCAAUAUGUAGCUCUUUUAGAGAUUGAAUCAUUGGCAGUUUAACCAAUUUAGGACAACAAUCGACAGUUAAUGAAGUCAGGAGAGGAAAAUGUUCUCUACCAUUCACUGUUGUCCAUUCCUCCAAACAUAGCGCCACACGUAUGCUGAGAACCUCGAGUGAUGGAAAAGAACUUUCCAUAUCACCAUAGAAGGUGUCGUCAAUAUACUUCAGAGCACUAAUUCUACAAAUAUUAAGGACCUUAAGGAAGCGCAAUUUCCUUAGAGGUGGUAGCUGAUGGCAUCUUUCACAGUUUGCUAGUGAGAUUUCAACAAGGUUUGGUAGAAGCAGAUCCAUCAUCCAAUACGGAAACAUCAAACCUUGGUAACCAAUUAUGCGUAACUUCUUCAAGGUUGAAUGAGGUUAGAGAGCACAAAAGAACCUCUUCAUCAUUUUGAUGAUGAGAGUUCUCGUUGCGAUUUCCUUGCCAAGAUAAGCUAAGUGAUCUUAAAUUGUGCUUCUUUAUCAAAUUUGCCAUUUUAGCUUCCAUCGCACUCUUCACGUUGGUUAGUCCUUUGAUGCUCAGUUCCCCCUCUAGGGCCAACUCUUUCAACUCAUCAAUGCCGCAACCAUCUUUCUUUCCCAAAAUGAAUAUGCUAAGCUUGCGCAAAAAAGACAAUUGUCCCAAUGCAACAGGCAUAGAAGUUAGUGUAUGGCAACCUCUGAUGUCCAAAUACCUAAGAUUUUUCAAGUUCUUCGUACCUUUGGGUAACAUUUUAAGACUGCCACAAUCUUUGAGGCUUAGUGUCUGCAAGUUAAGAAGAGAGCUUGUUGAUUCAGGUAAAGUUUUCACAGUAGAAUUGUGAAGGUACAGAUACCUCAAUUGUUUCGAAAUUUUAAAUUCAAUAUUGCUCAUAUAAAAACCCAAAUGCAACACCUUGAGAUACUUUUGUUUACUGAUGAAACGUGAAGGAUUAGAGUGGUUAAAGUAACCAUCGCCGCAUAGGAUCAAAGAUUGCAGCGGUUGCAAUGUGGUUAAGUCCAUAAUGUUUGUCGAUGGACUGAUAUUAUAAUUAUAAACAAACAAGUGAGGAGCAGUUUUUGGAAUUUGUGACACCUCAUUUGGCUCAAUCACACAGCACUCGUCUCAUAAUCGAUGUUGCAAGACCAUGGAUGAGAUCAUGCAUUUUACAUGUAACAGUUCCAUCAACAUCCUCUUCAAUUUCUUGAAAAAAGGAAUAAAUCCAUUUGCCAUCCAUAGUGCUAAAAGCUUGUCCUUUGUCAUGACAGAAUCUUUGGGAAAUAUCGAGCAAAAUGAAAAACAUUGUCUCAUAUACGGUGGAAGAUGUUCAUGACUUAGCCUCAACACAGCUAUGAUUCUGCUUCCCUCAUCUUCCAAAUCCCAUAUCUCACUAUCUUUGACAUGUAACCAUUCACUUUCUUGACUUCUAAAACGCAAUAUGCUUCCUAUGGCCUUAACUGCCAACGGUACCACUCCACAUCUCUGCACUAAUUGCCUCCCAGUGGUUUCCAGGUUCGCGUUGCUUCCAUUCAUUCCCAUCCCAAAGGCUCUUUGCUUGAAUAAAGACCAAGAAUCAUCAUCAGACAAACAUCCCAAGCGAUAGAAAGGAGUUGUAGCCAUCAUAAGAGCAGCUUUCUCGAGUCGAGUAGUGACAAUCACCGUACUUCCUACCGUGCAUAAAAGAAUUCGAGAAGUCUAAUAAUAUUAAAAAGGGUGAUAAAAUAAAAAAUGUCAUUAUAAUUUUUCGUAUAAUUUUAUUAAAAUAUUAUUUACGUUCCAAUAAAUAAUUCGAAAAUUGGGACAUAUAUUUGAGUAUGACUCAAUAUGAUAAUACUUAAGUCUAAAAUAAUCUAAAGAAAAAACUACACAUGGUGUGAUUCAAACUCGACACAUCAAAGCCUCAGCACCUCAACCUUUAUCAACGAAGCGACCAAUAACAUGCCUAUGCACAUAUAUAUAUAUAAUAGAGUUUAACAAAGUUACGUGUGAUGAGCAUAAGAAGUUAGAAACUAAAAUUAUUUGCCAUCUAUUUAUUCAUACCUGCUCUUAUUGGGGGAUAGAAUUGGUCUGCGAAUUUAAUGCAAUGUUGUCUUUUUUCUUCAAAUUGCAAAAUAGAUCCUCGAAUUUAACAAAAGUUGUCACUCACCAAUCCUGAAAAUGUAUUUAGACAAUCAUAUCAUAAAUUCAUCAAAUGAAAACUAUUAAUAAUAGAUAUGAAUGAAAUGAUCCUGCAGAUGCAGAGAUCCUUAUUCACAAAAAUGUAAAUGUCAAAUCCUUUUUACAUAAUUCUUGAAUAUGAUUAAAAUUAAGAAUAUUCUUAUUUAAAAUUAAAUUUCAAAAGUAGAGAAUCACCUGGUUAAAGAUGUCAUUGGACGGAAUGUGGACUAUGUUGGGCCAAUCCUCUCCUCUCACUUUCUUACACCGUCUUUCAGGUGGGGGCAUCCUCUGAUUCUUAGUGUUUCCAGAGCAUUGAGGUUACGUACCCCUUGGGGCAAUGACAUCAAAUUAGAGCAACCAUUUAUAUCCAAUAAUGAAAGCAAGGUGAGGUGUUGUAUCUCAUCUGGGAGAGAAAUUAAAC